Molecule: transfer RNA, 91 nt
Filed under: Candidatus Zixiibacteriota bacterium
Lineage: Bacteria; Pseudomonadati; Candidatus Zixiibacteriota
Description: tRNA-Ser
Rfam family: tRNA
About the family: Transfer RNA (tRNA) molecules are approximately 80 nucleotides in length. Their secondary structure includes four short double-helical elements and three loops (D, anti-codon, and T loops). Further hydrogen bonds mediate the characteristic L-shaped molecular structure. tRNAs have two regions of fundamental functional importance: the anti-codon, which is responsible for specific mRNA codon recognition, and the 3' end, to which the tRNAs corresponding amino acid is attached (by aminoacyl-tRNA synthetases). tRNAs cope with the degeneracy of the genetic code in two manners: having more than one tRNA (with a specific anti-codon) for a particular amino acid; and 'wobble' base-pairing, i.e. permitting non-standard base-pairing at the 3rd anti-codon position.
Source: RNAcentral
GGAGGGAUGCCGGAGCCAGGCUGAACGGGGCGGUCUCGAAAACCGCUGUCCUGCUAACGCAGGACCGGGGGUUCAAAUCCCUCUCCCUCCG